This 497-nucleotide ribosomal RNA is filed under the name uncultured bacterium. Its description in RNAcentral is "partial 16S ribosomal RNA". It matches the Rfam family "Bacterial small subunit ribosomal RNA", at positions 28 to 507 of the family's 1533-position model. The record is from RNAcentral.
GACGAACGCUGGCGGCGUGCCUAAUACAUGCAAGUUGAGCGCUGAAGGUUGGUACUUGUACCAACUGGAUGAGCAGCGAACGGGUGAGUAACGCGUGGGGAAUCUGCCUAUGAGCGGGGGACAACAUUUGGAAACGAAUGCUAAUACCGCAUAAAAACUUUAAACACAAGUUUUAAGUUUGAAAGAUGCAAUUGCAUCACUCAAAGAUGAUCCCGCGUUGUAUUAGCUAGUUGGUGAGGUAAAGGCUCACCAAGGCGAUGAUACAUAGCCGACCUGAGAGGGUGAUCGGCCACAUUGGGACUGAGACACGGCCCAAACUCCUACGGGAGGCAGCAGUAGGGAAUCUUCGGCAAUGGACGAAAGUCUGACCGAGCAACGCCGCGUGAGUGAAGAAGGUUUUCGGAUCGUAAAACUCUGUUGGUAGAGAGGAACGUUGGUGAGAGUGGAAAGCUCAUCAAGUGACGGUAACUACCCAGAAAGGGACGGCUAACUACGUG